Molecule: ribosomal RNA, 524 nt
Filed under: Massilia agri
Lineage: Bacteria; Pseudomonadati; Pseudomonadota; Betaproteobacteria; Burkholderiales; Oxalobacteraceae
Description: bacterial SSU rRNA
Rfam family: Bacterial small subunit ribosomal RNA
Source: RNAcentral
AUGCCGCGUGAGUGAAGAAGGCCUUCGGGUUGUAAAGCUCUUUUGUCAGGGAAGAAACGGCUGCGGCUAAUAUCUGCGGCUAAUGACGGUACCUGAAGAAUAAGCACCGGCUAACUACGUGCCAGCAGCCGCGGUAAUACGUAGGGUGCAAGCGUUAAUCGGAAUUACUGGGCGUAAAGCGUGCGCAGGCGGUUUUGUAAGUCUGACGUGAAAGCCCCGGGCUCAACCUGGGAAUUGCGUUGGAGACUGCAAGGCUUGAAUCUGGCAGAGGGGGGUAGAAUUCCACGUGUAGCAGUGAAAUGCGUAGAGAUGUGGAGGAACACCGAUGGCGAAGGCAGCCCCCUGGGUCAAGAUUGACGCUCAUGCACGAAAGCGUGGGGAGCAAACAGGAUUAGAUACCCUGGUAGUCCACGCCCUAAACGAUGUCUACUAGUUGUCGGGUUUUAAUUAACUUGGUAACGCAGCUAACGCGUGAAGUAGACCGCCUGGGGAGUACGGUCGCAAGAUUAAAACUCAAAGGAAUU